Molecule: non-coding RNA, 136 nt
Organism: Brachypodium distachyon (stiff brome)
Lineage: Eukaryota; Viridiplantae; Streptophyta; Magnoliopsida; Poales; Poaceae
Source: Rfam
CUUAUAUUUUUUCCGUCCAAUAAAAGAUGUCUCGGUUUUAAUUAAAUUUGAAUGCAUCUAUACGCUAAGCCAUGUCUACAUACAUUCAAAUUUUGACAAAUUUUAGACAUCUUUUGUUGGACGGAGGGAAUAGUGU